CCGGGCAGCGGGCAGCGAGACCAAUAGGCAGACUAAGCAUGUAGAUCCUCAGGCGGAGGAUCCACGGACGCGGGUUCGAUUCCCGCCGCCUCCACCA
Molecule: transfer-messenger RNA, 97 nt
Filed under: Gammaproteobacteria bacterium
Lineage: Bacteria; Pseudomonadati; Pseudomonadota; Gammaproteobacteria
Description: partial transfer-messenger RNA
Rfam family: transfer-messenger RNA
About the family: Bacterial tmRNA, also known as 10Sa RNA or SsrA, is named for its dual tRNA and mRNA-like properties. Its role is to liberate the mRNA from a stalled ribosome.
Source: RNAcentral